RNAcentral lists this unclassified non-coding RNA (89 nucleotides) under Pseudomonas lini. Lineage: Bacteria; Pseudomonadati; Pseudomonadota; Gammaproteobacteria; Pseudomonadales; Pseudomonadaceae. The record is from RNAcentral.
UGUGGGAGCGGGCUUGCCCGCGAUGACGGCGGUACAUCCAAAAUUAAUGUCUCAGACAGACCGCUAUCGCGGGCAAGCCCGCUCCCACA